UAAGGUGGUUAUAGCGAAAGGUCUCACCUCUUACCAUUCCGAACAGAGCAGUUAAACCUUUUAGCGCAGAUGGUACUAC
This is a ribosomal RNA of Capnocytophaga canimorsus, 79 nucleotides long. Lineage: Bacteria; Pseudomonadati; Bacteroidota; Flavobacteriia; Flavobacteriales; Flavobacteriaceae. The record is from Rfam.